Molecule: ribosomal RNA, 461 nt
Filed under: uncultured Lactobacillus sp.
Lineage: Bacteria; Bacillati; Bacillota; Bacilli; Lactobacillales; Lactobacillaceae
Description: bacterial SSU rRNA
Rfam family: Bacterial small subunit ribosomal RNA
Source: RNAcentral
GGUGCUUGCAUCAUGAUUUACGUUUUGAGUGAGUGGCGAACUGGUGAGUAACACGUGGGAAACCUGCCCAGAAGCGGGGGAUAACACCUGGAAACAGAUGCUAAUACCGCAUAACAACUUGGAACCGCAUGGUCCGAGCUUGAAAGAUGGCUUCGGCUAUCACUUUUUGGAUGGUCCCGCGGCGUAUUAGCUAGAUGGUGGGGUAACGGCUCACCAUGGCAAUGAUACGUAGCCGACCUGAGAGGGUAAUCGGCCACAUUGGGACUGAGACACGGCCCAAACUCCUACGGGAGGCAGCAGUAGGGAAUCUUCCACAAUGGACGAAAGUCUGAUGGAGCAACGCCGCGUGAGUGAAGAAGGGUUUCGGCUCGUAAAACUCUGUUGUUAAAGAAGAACAUAUCUGAGAGUAACUGUUCAGGUAUUGACGGUAUUUAACCAGAAAGCCACGGCUAACUACGUGC